Molecule: ribosomal RNA, 541 nt
Filed under: Bifidobacterium pseudolongum subsp. globosum
Lineage: Bacteria; Bacillati; Actinomycetota; Actinomycetes; Bifidobacteriales; Bifidobacteriaceae
Description: bacterial SSU rRNA
Rfam family: Bacterial small subunit ribosomal RNA
Source: RNAcentral
GGUGGUAAUGCCGGAUGUUCCACAUGAGCGCAUGCGAGUGUGGGAAAGGCUUUUUGCGGCAUGGGAUGGGGUCGCGUCCUAUCAGCUUGUUGGUGGGGUAACGGCCUACCAAGGCGUUGACGGGUAGCCGGCCUGAGAGGGCGACCGGCCACAUUGGGACUGAGAUACGGCCCAGACUCCUACGGGAGGCAGCAGUGGGGAAUAUUGCACAAUGGGCGCAAGCCUGAUGCAGCGACGCCGCGUGCGGGAUGGAGGCCUUCGGGUUGUAAACCGCUUUUGUUCAAGGGCAAGGCACGGUCUUUGGCCGUGUUGAGUGGAUUGUUCGAAUAAGCACCGGCUAACUACGUGCCAGCAGCCGCGGUAAUACGUAGGGUGCAAGCGUUAUCCGGAUUUAUUGGGCGUAAAGGGCUCGUAGGCGGUUCGUCGCGUCCGGUGUGAAAGUCCAUCGCUUAACGGUGGAUCGCGCCGGGUACGGGCGGGCUUGAGUGCGGUAGGGGAGACUGGAAUUCCCGGUGUAACGGUGGAAUGUGUAGAUAUCGGG